This 253-nucleotide ribosomal RNA is filed under the name uncultured bacterium. Its description in RNAcentral is "partial 16S ribosomal RNA". It matches the Rfam family "Bacterial small subunit ribosomal RNA", at positions 524 to 776 of the family's 1533-position model. The record is from RNAcentral.
UACGAAGGGGGCUAGCGUUGUUCGGAAUCACUGGGCGUAAAGCGCGCGUAGGCGGUUAUCCAAGUCGGAUGUGAAAGCCCUCGGCUUAACUGAGGAAGUGCACCCGAAACUGGAUAGCUAGAGUACGAAAGAGGGUCGCGGAAUUCCCGGUGUAGAGGUGAAAUUCGUAGAUAUCGGGAGGAACACCGGUGGCGAAGGCGGCGACCUGGGUCGAGACUGACGCUGAGGCGCGAAAGCGUGGGGAGCAAACAGG